This is a long non-coding RNA of Spinacia oleracea (spinach), 1401 nucleotides long. RefSeq lists it as uncharacterized. NCBI's taxonomy places the organism in Eukaryota, Viridiplantae, Streptophyta, Magnoliopsida, Caryophyllales, Amaranthaceae. The record is from RefSeq and is a predicted model, not a curated record. The transcript is spliced from 2 exons.
UAAAAACAAUAACUAGUGUUUUGUAUACUGUAUAUCCCAAAACCAAAGUGCACGUAUUACAUUUAAAUAUAUGUUCCAAUUUCAACAUAUACAUACAUUUUAAUAUAAAAGAUUAUUCUAUAACAACUAAACCAACUCGAUCAAGCGCGCUAAAGGCAAUAAUAAAUACUUGUUGGUAAAAAACUUAGCCUAUUGCUCACGAACCACAUCAAUUUCCUCGCAUAAGGCGCAAUCCUCGGAGUGUAGACCUUUACAAAAACAGAAAUUUAAAUUAAACAUUAGAUUAAAUACAAAUUAAAUAUCACAUUUUAACAUUCAAGCAACUAAUGACAAUGUCCUAAUAGUCUAAAAUGAGUCCUUAGGUUCUUUAGUUCAAAGUUGGGAGCGAAAAUGUCAUUUUAGCCUAAAUAUGACCUAUAAAGACCCAAUGAGCCUAAAGGUGCAUAAAUAGAUUGGAACGAGUCUUAGAUCGUUAAAAUUAUGCAUAUUAAACAUGUAAUAAGUUUUAAAUGAGUCCUUAGGUUCUUUAUUUUAAAAUUGGGAGCGAAAAUGCCUUAUUUUAGCCUAGAUAUGACCUAUAACGAUCAAACAAGCAUUAAAUGUGCAUAAGUAGAUUAGAAUAAGUCUUAGAAACUUAAAGGAAAAUUUGUCAAUUACAACCCAAUAAAAUUACCACUUUACGAAUUACAACCUUAAACUUUCAAUUUUGUGAAUUACAACCUCAAACUCAAUAUCGUACUUUAAAUUACAACCCGAUGUCAUAUUCCGGCUAAAACAAUCGGAUUAUGAUGUCAUUAAUAUAUUUUAAAUCUAAUUAAAUAAUCCAAAAAAAAUACUCAUUAAUCAGAAUUUUUUUUUUUUAAAAAAAAGACCCAAUAACUUUUUUCAUUCACAUAAUCCCUACGGCAUUUUUCAAUUAACCUCCUCCUCUCAUUCAUCUCUGCCCAACUCCCCUCCCCUCCCUCCUCAAUAACUAAUCUCCUCAACUACCAAACUUUAAUGCUAACGAUGAUGAUAAGGUAAGGUACAAGGCAAGCUGUGCUUCCCAAAUAUGUGAUGCUGAUGUUGCAAAAAACAGGGGGCUUGUGGCAGUGAUGAUGCAGAUGCAGUAAUGUCUUUGCCUUGAUGCAGAUGAUGAUGAUGAUGCAGAUGUUAGGGGUUCAUGAUGAUGAUGUUAGGCUUAAAGUAGUGUGUAGGUUGUAAUUAGGGAUAUGAUCUUGAUGAUGAUGUACUAGUAAUUUUGGGCUUAAACUAGUGUAGUAACUAGUAAGUUGUAUUUCAGGCUGUUGUGGUUUAGGGUUCUUAGUGAUCACGUAAACUCGUGUUACGUUGACAGCAUGUUGUAAGUUGAACUACUCAUGAAUGAAAUAUCUUGCAAGAUUAUUAGAUUAAUUUUCACAA